GACGAACGCUGGCGGCGUGCUUAACACAUGCAAGUCGAACGGAAAGGCCCUGCUUUUGUGGGGUGCUCGAGUGGCGAACGGGUGAGUAACACGUGAGUAACCUGCCCUUGACUUUGGGAUAACUUCAGGAAACUGGGGCUAAUACCGGAUAGGAGCUCCUGCUGCAUGGUGGGGGUUGGAAAGUUUCGGCGGUUGGGGAUGGACUCGCGGCUUAUCAGCUUGUUGGUGGGGUAGUGGCUUACCAAGGCUUUGACGGGUAGCCGGCCUGAGAGGGUGACCGGCCACAUUGGGACUGAGAUACGGCCCUGACUCCUACGGGAGGUAGCAGUGGGGAAUAUUGCACAAUGGGCGGAAGCCUGAUGCAGCAACGCCGCGUGCGGGAUGACGGCCUUCGGGUUGUAAACCGCUUUCGCCUGUGACGAAGCGUGAGUGACGGUAAUGGGUAAAGAAGCACCGGCUAACUACGUG
Molecule: ribosomal RNA, 468 nt
Filed under: uncultured bacterium
Lineage: Bacteria
Description: partial 16S ribosomal RNA
Rfam family: Bacterial small subunit ribosomal RNA
Source: RNAcentral